UAGGAACAAAAGGAUUAUAGGAGACUGUGCAAACAGCACUGUCAUGUGCAUGGAGCGUAAAACUUGGCUUUGAAUCGGAUGAUGAAUCAGACUUCACAGCCCGGAUAUCAAAACCUUGGACAGUACCAUCUUCAAGACUCACCACAAAUGAGUGAUUACUGUGGGGAUCCCAUGCCAAGCUUUCAACGUCAGCUGUAACUGACCACCUAAAACCAGGAUGUGUGGGAAUCCUCCCAUCCUUCAUGACUACUGAAUGAUCAAAAGAUCCACUGAGAAGAACUUGUGGUUCAUGAUGAUUCCAUGCAACCGCUUGAACCUUGUCUGUAUGAUGCUCCAAGGUAAUAUCACACUUUCCAGUAGCCACAUCCCAAAUUUUGACUUGUCUGUCAGCACUAGCACUGGCAAUAAUAUUCCUG
RNAcentral lists this unclassified non-coding RNA (416 nucleotides) under Hevea brasiliensis (rubber tree). The record is from RNAcentral. Lineage: Eukaryota; Viridiplantae; Streptophyta; Magnoliopsida; Malpighiales; Euphorbiaceae.